Molecule: ribosomal RNA, 446 nt
Filed under: uncultured bacterium
Lineage: Bacteria
Description: SSU rRNA
Rfam family: Bacterial small subunit ribosomal RNA
Source: RNAcentral
AGAGCGAACGCUGGCGGCAGGCCUAACACAUGCAAGUCGAACGGAUCCUUCGGGAUUAGUGGCAGACGGGUGAGUAACGCGUGGGAACGUGCCCUUUGGUUCGGAACAACACAGGGAAACUUGUGCUAAUACCGGAUGUGCCCUUCGGGGGAAAGAUUUAUCGCCAUUGGAGCGGCCCGCGUUGGAUUAGGUAGUUGGUGAGGUAAAGGCUCACCAAGCCUACGAUCCAUAGCUGGUCUGAGAGGAUGAUCAGCCACACUGGGACUGAGACACGGCCCAGACUCCUACGGGAGGCAGCAGUGGGGAAUCUUGCGCAAUGGGCGAAAGCCUGACGCAGCCAUGCCGCGUGAAUGAUGAAGGUCUUAGGAUUGUAAAAUUCUUUCAGCAGGGACGAUAAUGACGGUACCUGCAGAAGAAGCCCCGGCUAACUUCGUGCCAGCAGCCGC